GAUGAAGAACGUAGCGAAAUGCGAUAAGUAAUGUGAAUUGCAGAAUUCAGUGAAUCAUCGAAUCUUUGAACGCACCUUGCGCCCUUUGGCCAUUCCGAAGGGCAUGCCUGUUUGAGUAUCAUGAACACCUCAACUCUCAUGGCUCGCCAUGAUGAGCUUGGAUUUGGGGGUCUUGCUGGCCUGUGGUCGGCUCCUCUCAAAUGGAUCAGCUUGCCAGUGUUUGGUGGCAUCACAGGUGUGAUAACUAUCUGCGCUUGCGGUUUUCCAUCAGAUAACCUUCAGUGAUGGAGGUUCGCUGGAGCUCAUAAACGUCUCCCCUAAGCGGGGACAGCCCUUUGAAUGUUUGAUCUCAAAUCAGGUAGGACUACCCGCUGAACUUAAGCAUAUCAAUAAGCGGAGGA
This 401-nucleotide unclassified non-coding RNA is filed under the name soil metagenome. Its description in RNAcentral is "partial contains 5.8S ribosomal RNA, internal transcribed spacer 2, and large subunit ribosomal RNA". The stretch from base 1 to 121 matches the Rfam family "5.8S ribosomal RNA", at positions 35 to 154 of the family's 154-position model. The record is from RNAcentral.